UACAGAGGGUGCGAGCGUUAAUCGGAAUUACUGGGCGUAAAGCGUGCGUAGACGGUAGCGUAAGUCAGAUGUGAAAGCCCCGGGCUCAACCUGGGAACUGCAUUUGAGACUGCUCUGCUCGGGUGCAGAAGAGGGAAGCGGAAUUUCCGGUGUAGCGGUGAAAUGCGUAGAUAUCGGAAGGAACACCAGUGGCGAAAGCGGCUUCCUGGUCCGACACCGACGUUCAGGCACGAAAGCGUGGGGAGCAAACAGG
Molecule: ribosomal RNA, 253 nt
Filed under: uncultured bacterium
Lineage: Bacteria
Description: partial 16S ribosomal RNA
Rfam family: Bacterial small subunit ribosomal RNA
Source: RNAcentral